CAGAGGGUGCAAGCGUUAAUCGGAGUUACUGGGCGUAAAGGGCGCGUAGGCGGUUAUUUAAGUGAGAUGUGAAAUCCCUGGGCUUAACCUAGGAAUUGCAUUUUAGACUAGAUGACUGGAGUACAGUAGAGGGUAGCGGAAUUUCCGGUGUAGCGGUGAAAUGCGUAGAGAUCGGAAGGAACAUCAGUGGCGAAGGCGGCUACCUGGACUGACACUGACGCUGAGGCGCGAGAGCGUGGGGAGCAAACAGGAUUAGAUACCCUGGUAGUCCACGCUGUAAACGAUGAGAACUAGAUGAUGGUUUGCGCGAGCGAAUUGGUAUCGAAGCUAACGCGAUAAGUUCUCCGCCUGGGGAGUACGGCCGCAAGGUUA
This 372-nucleotide ribosomal RNA is filed under the name uncultured organism. Its description in RNAcentral is "bacterial SSU rRNA". It matches the Rfam family "Bacterial small subunit ribosomal RNA", at positions 526 to 896 of the family's 1533-position model. The record is from RNAcentral.